AACUGCGAGUGAAGCGGGAAAAGCUCAAAUUUAAAAUCUGGCGGYCCUUGGCCGUCCGAGUUGUAAUUUAGAGAAGCGUCUUCCGCGCUGGACCGUGCACAAGUCUCCUGGAAUGGAGCGUCAUAGAGGGUGAGAAUCCCGUCUUUGGCACGGAUGCCUGGUGCUUCUGCGAUGCGCUCUCGAAGAGUCGAGUUGUUUGGGAAUGCAGCUCAAAAUGGGUGGUGAACUCCAUCUAAAGCUAAAUAUUGGCGAGAGACCGAUAGCGAACAAGUACCGUGAGGGAAAGAUGAAAAGCACUUUGGAAAGAGAGUGAAACAGUACGUGAAAUUGUUGAAAGGGAAACGCUUGAAGUCAGUCGCGUCGACCGAGACUCAGCCUUGCCUUGGCUUGGUGUACUUCUCGGCCCGACGGGUCAGCGUCAAUUUUGCCCCUCGGAUAAUGGCAAGGGAAAGGUGGCACCUUUACGGGUGUGUUAUAGUCUCCUGUCGCAUGCGAGGGGUGGGAUUGAGGAACUCAGCGUGCACCUUGGUGUCGGGGCUUCG
RNAcentral lists this ribosomal RNA (542 nucleotides) under Lactarius betulinus. Its description in RNAcentral is "LSU rRNA". It matches the Rfam family "Eukaryotic large subunit ribosomal RNA", at positions 85 to 642 of the family's 3401-position model. Lineage: Eukaryota; Fungi; Basidiomycota; Agaricomycetes; Russulales; Russulaceae. The record is from RNAcentral.